Molecule: ribosomal RNA, 440 nt
Filed under: uncultured bacterium
Lineage: Bacteria
Description: partial 16S ribosomal RNA
Rfam family: Bacterial small subunit ribosomal RNA
Source: RNAcentral
CCUACGGGGGGCAGCAGUAGGGAAUAUUGCUCAAUGGGGGAAACCCUGAAGCAGCAACGCCGCGUGGAGGAUGAAGGUUUUCGGAUUGUAAACUCCUUUUGUUAGAGAAGAUAAUGACGGUAUCUAACGAAUAAGCACCGGCUAACUCCGUGCCAGCAGCCGCGGUAAUACGGAGGGUGCAAGCGUUACUCGGAAUCACUGGGCGUAAAGAGCGCGUAGGCGGGGUUGCAAGUCAGAUGUGAAAUCCUAUGGCUUAACCAUAGAACUGCAUUUGAAACUGUUAUUCUAGAGUGUGGGAGAGGGAGGUGGAAUUCUUGGUGUAGGGGUAAAAUCCGUAGAGAUUAAGAGGAAUACUCAUUGCGAAGGCGACCUGCUAGAACAUAACUGACGCUGAUGCGCGAAAGCGUGGGGAGCAAACAGGAUUAGAUACCCUAGUAGUC